This 67-nucleotide transfer RNA is filed under the name Svastra texana. RNAcentral describes it as "tRNA-Leu". It matches the Rfam family "tRNA". Rfam says of the family: Transfer RNA (tRNA) molecules are approximately 80 nucleotides in length. Their secondary structure includes four short double-helical elements and three loops (D, anti-codon, and T loops). Lineage: Eukaryota; Metazoa; Arthropoda; Insecta; Hymenoptera; Apidae. The record is from RNAcentral.
UUUAAUAUGGCAGAUUAGUGUGAUGAAUUUAAGAUUCAUUUAUGUAGAUUAUAGUCUAUUAUUAAAA